RNAcentral lists this microRNA precursor (67 nucleotides) under Bombyx mori (domestic silkworm). RNAcentral's name for it is "mir-2774 microRNA precursor family". It matches the Rfam family "mir-2774 microRNA precursor family". Lineage: Eukaryota; Metazoa; Arthropoda; Insecta; Lepidoptera; Bombycidae. The record is from Rfam by way of RNAcentral.
AUAGCAUUUGGACGGUCGGUCUACCGAGCAAAUUCACCUGCUGGACGGAAGAUCUUCCCAUAGUCGA